AAUGUAUGACGCCGUUGACUUUUAUCCAAUAUUUGACUAUUUGUCUUAUUCAAAAAAUUUAUGUAAUUAUCAUUUAUUUUAUUGUGACUUGAUUCAUCAUCAAAUGUUCUUUAAGCAUGAUAUAAAUAUUUUCAUAUUUACACAAAAAAUUUAAAUAAAACGAAUGGUCAAACGUUGGUCCAAAAGUUAACGGUAUCGUAUAUU
RNAcentral lists this microRNA precursor (204 nucleotides) under Oryza meridionalis. Its description in RNAcentral is "MIR812 microRNA precursor family". It matches the Rfam family "MIR812 microRNA precursor family". The record is from Rfam by way of RNAcentral. Lineage: Eukaryota; Viridiplantae; Streptophyta; Magnoliopsida; Poales; Poaceae.